Long non-coding RNA from Dromaius novaehollandiae (emu), 2914 nucleotides. RefSeq lists it as uncharacterized. Lineage: Eukaryota; Metazoa; Chordata; Aves; Casuariiformes; Dromaiidae. The record is from RefSeq and is a predicted model, not a curated record. The transcript is spliced from 3 exons.
GAACUUCAAAAGCAGACACACUAUUCAAAACAGGCUGGCAGAAACUUAAUUAUGUGUUAAGCAUCGAACAGCAUUAAAUCCCAGCAUAUAAUGGAAGAAUCCACACACAGCAGUACACAAACGAGGCUUCGAGAGACCAAGCUGAAGAAAUUAAUGACUUAGACUAAAAAGUGGACCCCUCCUUGAACUUACAAGGUGUCUCUCCUCUAACCCACGUAUAACUAAGCAAAUGCACUUAUUUGUUGUAGACACCUGGUAAGGUGAGAAACUUUACACAAAUUGCCACAUUAUUUCAAAGACAGUUCAUAGGAGCUGUGUAGGCUCCAUUCUCUAUGAAGCUGAAAACAGAGUGUUAGUUUAAGAGCUCCAAAAUACUGUCCUGGUGCUCUAGGGUUUGCUCUCAUCGCUGCAUCACUAGCAAAACAGAUUUGCACGAGGCAUGGUUUACACCGAGGAAGGAGUGUGGUGUGAAGAAACUUCUCUUUCUUCCUCCUCCCUAGUUUUAAAUGUACAAAAACAUUACUUACGUUCAAAUCUCUAAAGUAUUCAUUGUAAUCUAGGGCGUAUCCCACAACAAAUUUGUCUGGCACUUCAAAUCCAACAACUGAAAAAGACCAUAAGUCACCAGUAUGUUAGAAAAAACUUCCUAAAAUGCAUUAAACCUUUUUAUAAAGAUAAUCUGAAGUUUUAUAAAGAAGUAGAUAUCCUAACUAUGUUUUUUUAUUCCACCCAAGUAUUCUAAGAUUAAUAAUCAAGCUAUUUAAAUUUUUAAUUUAAUUCCUUGAUUUCAUUCAUCAACUAAAACAAGAUUAAGUAGAUUUAUUCACUGGCUCCCAAGCAGCAGCACGGUGCUAGCGUGCAGUCUGCAAGAAUGAAUGAAAACAUUUAAUCUGCAGACAGGCUAUUCUCAUCAGAAUGUGCAAUUCUUUUAAAUUUUUCUGCAAAUUUGUAAAUAUAUAAAAGAGCCGGUAUUUCCCAACACUUGCUGUAUCUUUGAAAUGCCUUUGCACAAGCAGUGGAGCUGGUGUGCACAGCACGCGUCACCCUGGCACUGUCAUUCAAAAGGCUGCGCUUUGGGGAGGUCACUGCCCUUAUAGUGCUCUCUAUCCAAGGGAAUAAGGGGAAGGCAUGGUUUAGCCCCCAGUUCCUUCAGAACUACAAAUAUGCAAGUCCAACAGGACCCUCUGUGAAGAGCUAAGAGAGUGAGAACUGAAUAACACAAACAUCGUGAAGAACCACCGUUACUGCAGGGAAACCGAUCCCUCUUCGUUGAGUAACCAUCCAGAUGGACUCUGCUCUUGUGACUCACAGAGAGAGACUGGAAAUAUGCAGCUGGUCAUAAUGACAGAAUCAAGACUUCUUUAAAUCAUGAACACUUUACAGCCUAAGAAUAACUAAUGGGUCUGUGAGAAAGAGGCUAGGAGCUACUGCUCUGGACGGACUUUCAUUGUGAAAAGUGACUUAAUGAGGUUCUGUGUGUGUUUAGAAACUGCAGGUACAGUCAUUUUAGUUUACAGGUGACAACUUGGGACCUGGCCUGAACCUGAAAAGAACAAAGUUCUUUGCAAAAGCAUGAGUAUUACGAAACAGAAGGUCAGCUGGUUAAAGCAUCCUCAAUUGCACUUGUGCAAUGUGUCCUCAACUGUUUUUCACUGGCAGUACUAAUUACACCCAUAAAUAAAAUGUAAUCUGUUUUGAGGAUAAAGUGAUACAACAUUACACCAGUUCCACUUUCCCAGAGUUAAUAGUUGGAGAAGUAGAAAAAAAUGGAGAUGUACAGUUGGGGGUGCUGUAGUAGGGAGAAAUGCCUUGCCAGUUUAAUUUGACUCACUCAUUCAACUGAGCAUUUCUACCUUUUAUAAGAAGUUCCCACAUGCCUGACAUUUGCCUUUGAGACAGGGAGACUUUGGGAGGAAAAGAGAAGGUGGUUGAUGGCUAAAUGUAAAGACAGCUUGAGCCGAUCCAUAUUCUCAGAUAGCCAUCUGUUUAAGGGAAGGGGUCCCUAUUGCUUAAUCAGAGUAUGUUCUAUCAGUCUCUGAAAUUUAAGGUACUUCCAUUUGUGUUUUCCACCGUAAGCUACUAAGAUUAUCCCGUCUCCUUAAGGGGGCAGGGAGGAGAAUCUGAUACUCUCAAUGCAGAUAUUCUCCUCAGAACAGAGUCUCUUAGUCUAGAAAACAAUAUUCAUGAGUUCGGAGCUAGCCAGGAGCAGCUGUGCUAGCACAACUCUGCACAAGCACAGACCUCCUUCCCUGCUAGAUCACCACUCCAGGUCGGGGGGCAUUCAUCGGGUUCCUGGUUUCAGUUUUAGACAUGCAGAAACUUCUAUCAGGAAGACUUAAUUUUUGAGUAUCAGUGUAGGAUUUCAUAUAACAAACGACAAAUCACGUUAGCAUUAAUUGGCAUCACCCUGCUACAACUGCAUCACUUGUCAGAGAGCAAAUGAAAAUGAAAAGCAAGGCAAGUGAAGUAACUAAGAACAUCCUUAUACUUAAGACUGUCUACAAUGAUCACAUUUACUUUGCUCAGGUCUUUGACAGACCCAAAUUGCUGCAACAGGUUUUAAAAAUAGGAAGCUGGACUUUGCUCAUACUAUAUUCUACUCAGGAGGUACACUGCAAUGACAGGGCACUUCUCAAUGACAAACAUUUAAAAUUUGGCAUAUUUUUCAGACCAGGGAGAAAUCCGAAACGAUUUCACCUUCAACAGGUCACCACCAGAUUAUCAGCAAGAAGAGCUGUUCUAGUAGCUCUAACAACUGUUUUGGUAUUGUUAUGGCAACACAACUGAUUAGAUAUUAUACUCCACUCUGGUUUAUCUCUAAUCCCCAGCAAUCAUUAUGCUUUUAUUGUAAAAUACACAACCACAGCAUAGCAGUGUGAAAGACGCAACUUAAAAAGAAGUAGGAGGAAUGUUG